This 111-nucleotide ribosomal RNA is filed under the name Acanthosepion pharaonis. Lineage: Eukaryota; Metazoa; Mollusca; Cephalopoda; Sepiida; Sepiidae. The record is from RNAcentral.
CAGCCACAUCACAUUGAAACACUGGUUUCCAUACAAUCAACAAAGUUAAGCAACAUUGAGCCUGGUCAGUAUCUAGAUGGGUGACCACUUGGGAAUCCCAGGUGCUGUAAG